Molecule: transfer RNA, 65 nt
Filed under: Chamberlainia hainesiana
Lineage: Eukaryota; Metazoa; Mollusca; Bivalvia; Unionida; Unionidae
Description: tRNA-Asp
Source: RNAcentral
AGAGGGUUAGUUUAGAGAAAAUUACUGGUUGUCAACCAGUGGAGACUGUUGAUUAGUACCUUCUU